This 437-nucleotide small RNA is filed under the name Arabidopsis thaliana (thale cress). Its description in RNAcentral is "ATSL218950". Lineage: Eukaryota; Viridiplantae; Streptophyta; Magnoliopsida; Brassicales; Brassicaceae. The record is from RNAcentral.
UUUUUUAGAAAAAAUCAAAAAAAAACUUUUUCUAAAAACAAAAGGAUUGAAUAUCGAUAUUCAACUGUAUAUGUGUUCAUUAUGUUCAGUGGUGACAAUAUUCAAUCUUUUUCCAAAAAACAACUGUUUUAAUCGUCAUCAUCUGUUACUUUAUUCAUUGUCUAAAUGUAUGAUCCGAUAUCACGGUUGAAUAUCAUCACCCAUAAAAAUAUUGAAUACAUAUACAGUUGAUAAAGUAUAUGGAUGCUCACUCUGAUUACUAUGAACUGACUUUGAAGUUGGCGAAAACUGAUGUGGAAUAGUUCAUUUAGGAGAUCAAAGCUUUUGUCUUGAAUAUGAUAAGUGUAACUGUAAUCAAUCUCUUGUCAUACAUAUAUAUCGAUGAUUGAGAUUUGGAUUAUGGAUAUGUCUUUCCUAAUUGUUUAAGAAUUUUGGUU